UUCCAUUCGUUGCAGUCGUUAGCAGUUAAGAAGCUCGUAGUUGAACCUUGGGUCUGGCUGGCCGGUCCGCCUCACCGCGAGUACUGGUCCGGCUGGACCUUUCCUUCUGGGGAACCUCAUGGCCUUCACUGGCUGUGGGGGGAACCAGGACUUUUACUGUGAAAAAAUUAGAGUGUUCAAAGCAGGCCUUUGCUCGAAUACAUUAGCAUGGAAUAAUAGAAUAGGACGUGCGGUUCUAUUUUGUUGGUUUCUAGGACCGCCGUAAUGAUUAAUAGGGAUAGUCGGGGGCGUCAGUAUUCAGCUGUCAGAGGUGAAAUUCUUGGAUUUGCUGAAGACUAACUACUGCGAAAGCAUUCGCCAAGGAUGUUUUCAUUAAUCAGGGAACGAAAGUUAGGGGAUCGAAGACGAUCAGAUACCGUCGUAGUCUUAACCAUAAACUAUGCCGACUAGGGAUCGGGCGGUGUUUCUAUGAUGACCCGCUCAGCACCUUACCAGAAAUCAAAGUUUUUGGGUUCUGGGGGGAGUAAGGUCACCAGGGGGAAACCUACAAAAUUUUUCGGUGGGACACCUCUAAGAGGGGAGUCGGCCCCGGAAUUUUCCGCCUCC
RNAcentral lists this ribosomal RNA (606 nucleotides) under Aspergillus fumigatus. RNAcentral's name for it is "SSU rRNA". It matches the Rfam family "Eukaryotic small subunit ribosomal RNA", at positions 595 to 1501 of the family's 1831-position model. Lineage: Eukaryota; Fungi; Ascomycota; Eurotiomycetes; Eurotiales; Aspergillaceae. The record is from RNAcentral.